UUGAGAGAUGGGUAGAGAAAACACGAAAACGACCAAAGGAAGGCAUAAACUCACCUGAGCUCGAGAAUGGGGAGAAAACUCACCCAUUUCCGAUCUGAGGGCCCUUUAUAGGUGGCCUGGUCAAAGACCUUCGGCAGCCUAACGUGCCCCCUAAACUCAUGCAUGUUCGGCGGCCGAACUUGACUUUCGGCGGCCGAACCUUGGCUCGUUUAAACAAGACUUUCGGAGGCCAAAGGCGCUCCCGAAGCCUUCCCAUGUUCGGCGGCCGAACUUCACUUUCGGCGGCCGAACCUGGCAAACGCCUCCUUGGUCUUUUC
Molecule: long non-coding RNA, 317 nt
Filed under: Manihot esculenta (cassava)
Lineage: Eukaryota; Viridiplantae; Streptophyta; Magnoliopsida; Malpighiales; Euphorbiaceae
Description: long non-coding RNA (MESC_LNC005443)
Source: RNAcentral